AUGCCGAAGGGCAUUGAGGAAGGUCAGUGGAAGGUACUUCAUCGCCAAGCUUGUGGGUUCAUUCGGCAAUGGGUCGAUGACAAUGUUUUGAACCAUAUCAUUGAUGAGACACAUGCACGCACCUUAUGGCAGAAAUUGGAAGAGUUGUUUGCCCAAAAAGAAGGUACAAACAAGAUGUUCUUGAUCAAACAAUUGAUGUGCUUGAGGUACAAAGAGGGCACUCUAAUUGCAGAUCAUGUGAAUACAUUCCAAGGCAUUAUAAAUCAGCUUUCUUCAAUGGGAAUAACAUUUGAAGAUGAAGUGAGAGCUUUGCUGCUACUAGGCUCAUUACCGGACAACUGGGAGACCUUUAAGGUCACAGUUUGCAAUUCAACACCUAAUGGAGUUGUCACUUGGAAUCUUGUGAAAACCAGGGUACUAAAUGAAAGAGUCCAGAAAGGUGGCUGA
This 447-nucleotide ribosomal RNA is filed under the name Triticum aestivum (bread wheat). RNAcentral describes it as "partial small subunit ribosomal RNA". The record is from RNAcentral. Lineage: Eukaryota; Viridiplantae; Streptophyta; Magnoliopsida; Poales; Poaceae.